ACCGACUGCUAUUUGGGUGAGGAUAAGCCAUGCGAGUUGGAUGGGAUACCUAAACUUCCCAUAGCAAACUGCUUAGUAACACAUGAUCAACUUGCCCUAUGGAGAAAAAUAACCUCGGGAAACUGAGGAUAAUGUUUCAUAGUUGAAUAGGCUUGGAAAAGUUUUUCAAUGAAAGGAAUAAGAUAAAUGGUUCUUAUUUGCCAUAGGAUAGGAUCGUGGUCGAUUAUGGUAGUUGGUGAGAUAACGGCUCACCAAGCCGAUAAUCGAUAGGGGCCGUGAGAGCGGGAGCCCCAAGAUGGGUACUGAGACAGCGACCCAGGCCUUACGAGGCGCAGCAGGCGCGAGGCCUCCGCAAUACACGAAAGUGUGACGGGGUUACCCAAAGUGUUCUCUUAAGAACUGUGGUAGGUGAGUAAUGUCCCCUGCUAGAAAGGAGAGGGCAAGGCUGGUGCCAGCCGCCGCGGUAAAACCAGCUCUUCAAGUGGUCGGGAUAAUUAUUGGGCUUAAAGUGUCCGUAGCCGGUUUAGAAAGUUCCUGGUAAAAUCGGGUAGCUUAACUAUCUGCAUGCUAGGAAUACUGCUAUACUAGAGGGCGGGAGAAGUCUGAGGUACUACAGGGGUAGGGGUGAAAUCUUAUAAUCCUUGUAGGACCACCAGUGGCGAAGGCGUCAGACUGGAACGCGCCUGACGGUGAGGGACGAAAGCCAGGGGAGCGAACCGGAUUAGAUACGUCGGUGCUAGAAUAAUAAAAUAACUAACACCAUGCUAAAAACCCGGGUAGUCCUGGCCGUAAACGAUGCAUACUAGGUGAUGGUACGGCCAUGAGCCGUAUCAGUGCCGUAGGGAAACCGUUAAGUGUGCCGCCUGGGAAGUACGGUCGCAAGGCUAAAACUUAAAGGAAUUGGCGGGGGAGCACCACAAGGGGUGAAGCCUGCGGUUC
RNAcentral lists this ribosomal RNA (939 nucleotides) under uncultured archaeon. RNAcentral describes it as "bacterial SSU rRNA". It matches the Rfam family "Archaeal small subunit ribosomal RNA", at positions 21 to 903 of the family's 1478-position model. The record is from RNAcentral.